Molecule: ribosomal RNA, 431 nt
Filed under: uncultured bacterium
Lineage: Bacteria
Description: bacterial SSU rRNA
Rfam family: Bacterial small subunit ribosomal RNA
Source: RNAcentral
AACGAACGCUGGCGGCAGGCCUAACACAUGCAAGUCGAGCGCCCCGCAAGGGGAGCGGCGGACGGGUGAGUAACGCGUGGGAACGUGCCCCAAGGUACGGAAUAGCCCCGGGAAACUGGGGGUAAUACCGUAUGUGCCCUACGGGGGAAAGAUUUAUCGCCUUGGGAUCGGCCCGCGUUGGAUUAGGUAGUUGGUGGGGUAAUGGCCUACCAAGCCGACGAUCCAUAGCUGGUUUGAGAGGAUGAUCAGCCACACUGGGGCUGAGACACGGCCCAGACUCCUACGGGAGGCAGCAGUGGGGAAUCUUAGACAAUGGGCGCAAGCCUGAUCUAGCCAUGCCGCGUGAGCGAUGAAGGCCUUAGGGUUGUAAAGCUCUUUCAGGGGGGAAGAUAAUGACUGUACCCCCAGAAGAAGCCCCGGCUAACUCCGUG